GGGUUGUGAGGUUAAGCGACUAAGCGUACACGGUGGAUGCCCUGGCAGUCAGAGGCGAUGAAGGACGUGCUAAUCUGCGAUAAGCGUCGGUAAGGUGAUAUGAACCGUUAUAACCGGCGAUUUCCGAAUGGGGAAACCCAGUGUGAUUCGUCACACUAUCAUUACGUGAAUACAUAGCGUAAUGAAGCGAACCGGGGGAACUGAAACAUCUAAGUACCCCGAGGAAAAGAAAUCAACCGAGAUUCCCCCAGUAGCGGCGAGCGAACGGGGAGCAGCCCAGAGUCUGAAUCAGCUUGUGUGUUAGUGGAACGGUCUGGAAAGUCCGACGGUACAGGGUGAUAGUCCCGUACACCAAAAUGCACAGGUUGUGAACUCGAAGAGUAGGGCGGGACACGUGGUAUCCUGUCUGAAUAUGGGGGGACCAUCCUCCAAGGCUAAAUACUCCUGACUGACCGAUAGUGAACCAGUACCGUGAGGGAAAGGCGAAAAGAACCCCGGCGAGGGGAGUGAAAAAGAACCUGAAACCGUGUACGUACAAGCAGUGGGAGCCUCUUUAUGGGGUGACUGCGUACCUUUUGUAUAAUGGGUCAGCGACUUAUAUUCUGUAGCAAGGUUAACCGUAUAGGGGAGCCGAAGGGAAACCGAGUCUUAACUGGGCGUUAAGUUGCAGGGUAUAGACCCGAAACCCGGUGAUCUAGCCAUGGGCAGGUUGAAGGUUGGGUAACACUAACUGGAGGACCGAACCGACUAAUGUUGAAAAAUUAGCGGAUGACUUGUGGCUGGGGGUGAAAGGCCAAUCAAACCGGGAGAUAGCUGGUUCUCCCCGAAAGCUAUUUAGGUAGCGCCUCGUGAAUUCAUCUUCGGGGGUAGAGCACUGUUUCGGCUAGGGGGUCAUCCCGACUUACCAACCCGAUGCAAACUGCGAAUACCGAAGAAUGUUAUCACGGGAGACACACGGCGGGUGCUAACGUCCGUCGUGAAGAGGGAAACAACCCAGACCGCCAGCUAAGGUCCCAAAGUCAUGGUUAAGUGGGAAACGAUGUGGGAAGGCACAGACAGCCAGGAUGUUGGCUUAGAAGCAGCCAUCAUUUAAAGAAAGCGUAAUAGCUCACUGGUCGAGUCGGCCUGCGCGGAAGAUGUAACGGGGCUAAACCAUGCACCGAAGCUGCGGCAGCGACACUAUGUGUUGUUGGGUAGGGGAGCGUUCUGUAAGCCGUUGAAGGUGUACUGUGAGGUAUGCUGGAGGUAUCAGAAGUGCGAAUGCUGACAUAAGUAACGAUAAUGCGGGUGAAAAACCCGCACGCCGGAAGACCAAGGGUUCCUGUCCAACGUUAAUCGGGGCAGGGUGAGUCGACCCCUAAGGCGAGGCCGAAAGGCGUAGUCGAUGGGAAACAGGUUAAUAUUCCUGUACUUGGUGUUACUGCGAAGGGGGGACGGAGAAGGCUAUGUUAGCCGGGCGACGGUUGUCCCGGUUUAAGCAUGUAGGCGGAGGUUCCAGGUAAAUCCGGUACCUUUUAACGCUGAGGUGUGAUGACGAGGCACUACGGUGCUGAAGUAACAAAUGCCCUGCUUCCAGGAAAAGCCUCUAAGCAUCAGGUAACACGAAAUCGUACCCCAAACCGACACAGGUGGUCAGGUAGAGAAUACCAAGGCGCUUGAGAGAACUCGGGUGAAGGAACUAGGCAAAAUGGUGCCGUAACUUCGGGAGAAGGCACGCUGAUAUGUAGGUGAAGUGAUUUACUCAUGGAGCUGAAAUCAGUCGAAGAUACCAGCUGGCUGCAACUGUUUAUUAAAAACACAGCACUGUGCAAACACGAAAGUGGACGUAUACGGUGUGACGCCUGCCCGGUGCCGGAAGGUUAAUUGAUGGGGUUAUCCGUAAGGAGAAGCUCUUGAUCGAAGCCCCGGUAAACGGCGGCCGUAACUAUAACGGUCCUAAGGUAGCGAAAUUCCUUGUCGGGUAAGUUCCGACCUGCACGAAUGGCGUAAUGAUGGCCAGGCUGUCUCCACCCGAGACUCAGUGAAAUUGAACUCGCUGUGAAGAUGCAGUGUACCCGCGGCAAGACGGAAAGACCCCGUGAACCUUUACUAUAGCUUGACACUGAACACUGGUCCUUGAUGUGUAGGAUAGGUGGGAGGCUUUGAAGUGUGGACGCCAGUCUGCAUGGAGCCAUCCUUGAAAUACCACCCUUUAAUGGCUGGUGUUCUAACGUGGACCCGUAAUCCGGGUUGCGGACAGUGUCUGGUGGGUAGUUUGACUGGGGCGGUCUCCUCCUAAAGAGUAACGGAGGAGCACGAAGGUUAGCUAAUCCUGGUCGGACAUCAGGAGGUUAGUGCAAAGGCAUAAGCUAGCUUGACUGCGAGAGUGACGGCUCGAGCAGGUGCGAAAGCAGGUCUUAGUGAUCCGGUGGUUCUGAAUGGAAGGGCCAUCGCUCAACGGAUAAAAGGUACUCCGGGGAUAACAGGCUGAUACCGCCCAAGAGUUCAUAUCGACGGCGGUGUUUGGCACCUCGAUGUCGGCUCAUCACAUCCUGGGGCUGAAGUAGGUCCCAAGGGUAUGGCUGUUCGCCAUUUAAAGUGGUACGCGAGCUGGGUUUAGAACGUCGUGAGACAGUUCGGUCCCUAUCUGCCGUGGGCGCUGGAGAAUUGAGGGGGGCUGCUCCUAGUACGAGAGGACCGGAGUGGACGCAUCACUGGUGUUCGGGUUGUCAUGCCAAUGGCAUUGCCCGGUAGCUAAAUGCGGAAGAGAUAAGUGCUGAAAGCAUCUAAGCACGAAACUUGCCCCGAGAUGAGUUCUCCCUGAGACUUAAAGUCUCCUGAAGGAACGUUAAAGACGAUGACGUUGAUAGGUCGGGUGUGUAAGCGUAGCGAUACGUUGAGCUAACCGAUACUAAUGAA
RNAcentral lists this ribosomal RNA (2898 nucleotides) under Citrobacter freundii. RNAcentral's name for it is "partial 23S ribosomal RNA". It matches the Rfam family "Bacterial large subunit ribosomal RNA". The record is from RNAcentral. Lineage: Bacteria; Pseudomonadati; Pseudomonadota; Gammaproteobacteria; Enterobacterales; Enterobacteriaceae.